UAGUUUUUUAAUUGAAAACUAGUAUGAAUGGUUGAACGAAAUAUAUAGUGUUUCAUUUAUAAUAUUAUAGAAUUUUACUUUUAAAUUAAAAGGUUUAAAUAAAAUUAAAAGACGAGAAGACCCUAUAGAGUUUUAUAAAUAAAAAUUUUUUUUUUAUUUAAAUUAAUUUAAAAAUUAUAUUGUUAUAUAUUUUAUUGGGGUGAUAGUAAAAUUUAAUAAACUUUUAUUUUUUUAUUACAUAUAUUAAUGAUUAAUUGAUCCAUUUUUAAUGAUUAAAAGAUUAAAUUACCUUAGGGAUAACAGCGUAAUUUUUUUAAAGAGUUCUUAUCGAUAAAAAAUUUUGC
This 344-nucleotide ribosomal RNA is filed under the name Adicroneura sp. JSGS25. Its description in RNAcentral is "partial 16S ribosomal RNA". Lineage: Eukaryota; Metazoa; Arthropoda; Insecta; Diptera; Mycetophilidae. The record is from RNAcentral.